Molecule: long non-coding RNA, 509 nt
Filed under: Pan troglodytes (chimpanzee)
Lineage: Eukaryota; Metazoa; Chordata; Mammalia; Primates; Hominidae
Description: long non-coding RNA NONPTRT007506
Source: RNAcentral
CAACACAUCUAACCACUCUUCAGCUGAUAUCCACUUGCUGACAAAUGAAUCUCUCUGGCCCCUGGACUGUGCCCUGAAACACAGCUUAAAACAAAUGAACAGUAAUCCCAGAGACCCUGAGAUGAGAAAAGGGUGUUUGACUUAUUCAAAGAAGACCAAGGAAGCCCAAAGACCAGAGAAGAGUGCAGGAAAGGGGCGGUGGUCUGAGAUGCAGUCAGAGCAGUGGCAAGCCCCCAGAGUCUGUGGCAAAGACUUCAGGUUUCAUCCUGAAGAGGAAGACAGGUCUUUGGAGAGUUUUGAUCAAGGAAGUGAGAUGAAAUAUCUUAGGCUUAAAAAGAACUACUCUGACAUCUAAAUGGAAAAUGGACUGAUGAAGCAAAAGAAGCCACAAGGAAGCCAGUUCAGAGGCUAUUGAAAUGCUCCAGAUACUAAGAGAGUGAGAGCCUUCAGAUUUGGGUGAGUGAUGCCAUUAGAACCAAGAUUUCUUCCAUUCUUCUGCUCUAUCAUUC